GUCGCGGUGAUUCGGCAGAAGAAGAGUUUCCUGUUUUUAGUUUUCGGUCUGUGAGCGCUCCUGUGGUGGGUUUUCGGUUUUAUGAGAACACGCGGGCUGGUGAGGAGCUGCUGGACUUUGGAGGAGUUGUGGGGAAACUCAGCGGAAUUUAGCGGAGACUCGGAGCGUUUGUCGGCGCCGUGACUCCGUCAGAGAGGAGCUGGAGGCGGCGGAGCGUCUGGAGUGGUGUAUGUCAUGAAACAGACACCCUCUC
This is a long non-coding RNA of Thalassophryne amazonica, 253 nucleotides long. RefSeq lists it as uncharacterized. NCBI's taxonomy places the organism in Eukaryota, Metazoa, Chordata, Actinopteri, Batrachoidiformes, Batrachoididae. The transcript is spliced from 4 exons. The record is from RefSeq and is a predicted model, not a curated record.